AGUGAACGCUGGCGGUAGGCCUAACACAUGCAAGUCGAACGGCAGCACAGGAGAGCUUGCUCUCUGGGUGGCGAGUGGCGGACGGGUGAGGAAUACAUCGGAAUCUACUUUUUCGUGGGGGAUAACGUAGGGAAACUUACGCUAAUACCGCAUACGACAUACGGGUGAAAGCAGGGGAUCUUCGGAACUUGCGCGAUUGAAUGAGCGGAUGUCGGAUUAGCUAGUUGGCGGGGUAAAGGCCCACCAAGGCGACGAUCCGUAGCUGGUCUGAGAGGAUGAUCAGCCACACUGGAACUGAGACACGGUCCAGACUCCUACGGGAGGCAGCAGUGGGGAAUAUUGGACAAUGGGCGCAAGCCUGAUCCAGCCAUACCGCGUGGGUGAAGAAGGCCUUCGGGUUGUAAAGCCCUUUUGUUGGGAAAGAAAUCCAGCUGGUUAAUACCCGGUUGGGAUGACGGUACCCAAAGAAUAAGCACCGGCUAACUUCGUGCCAGCAGCCGCCGUAA
RNAcentral lists this ribosomal RNA (506 nucleotides) under uncultured bacterium. Its description in RNAcentral is "partial 16S ribosomal RNA". It matches the Rfam family "Bacterial small subunit ribosomal RNA", at positions 29 to 523 of the family's 1533-position model. The record is from RNAcentral.